GAUGAAGAACGUAGCGAAAUGCGAUAAGUAGUGUGAAUUGCAGAAUUCAGUGAAUCAUCGAAUCUUUGAACGCACAUUGCGCCCGGUAGUAUUCUGCCGGGCAUGCCUGUUCGAGCGUCAUUUCAACCAUCAAGCCCCAGCGCUUGUGUUGGGGGCCUGCGGCUGCCGCAGCCCCCCAAAAGCAGUGGCGGGCUCGCUAUCACACCGAGUGCAGUAGUUCAUCUUCUCUCCGGUCUUGUGAGGCGGGUUCCGGCCGUGAAACACCCCACUACAUUCAAGGUUGACCUCGGAUCAGGUAGGAAUACCCGCUGAACUUAAGCAUAUCAAUAAGCGGAGGA
Molecule: unclassified non-coding RNA, 338 nt
Filed under: soil metagenome
Description: partial contains 5.8S ribosomal RNA, internal transcribed spacer 2, and large subunit ribosomal RNA
Rfam family: 5.8S ribosomal RNA (bases 1-120)
Source: RNAcentral